CAACAAGUUGGUAAGUAACUAUGACAUUUCUACAAAAUUAUUCAACAAUUUUAAGGAUUAAUAAAUUGGGAUGAUUUAUUAUCAGGGCGGCAUUGGUUUUGAAAUUCCAAUUCCAAGCAAUCAGUUGAUGAUUGGAUUAGCUGCAUCAUCUCCAUUGGAAAACCCUACCCCUACCGUCAAUUUCAAAAUUCAGUGUGAUAUUCAGAAGUUGUGGAUUGAAAGUAUUGUAGCUCAGACAACUUGCUUAACUGCUGGUGAAAAGACAGUGUUGCCAUCCUUGACUAUCUCAGCAAACAAACUGGACCU
This 306-nucleotide long non-coding RNA is filed under the name Trifolium pratense (red clover). Its description in RNAcentral is "long non-coding RNA (TPRA_LNC006592)". Lineage: Eukaryota; Viridiplantae; Streptophyta; Magnoliopsida; Fabales; Fabaceae. The record is from RNAcentral.